This 226-nucleotide long non-coding RNA is filed under the name Setaria italica (foxtail millet). RNAcentral describes it as "long non-coding RNA (SITA_LNC007493)". Lineage: Eukaryota; Viridiplantae; Streptophyta; Magnoliopsida; Poales; Poaceae. The record is from RNAcentral.
UUUUGCUGACUGCCGCUACUACUUGUAAGAAGCUGCCCAAAAUCUGGGAUGUGUAAUAUAUACUCUGUUCUUUAUUUCGACCGAUCAAGGUAAACCAACACACCUGACCUGCUGGGCAACUGAAAUGAUGCAUCAGGAUCAGAUCAUCGCAACCAACAGUAGAUGACCAAACCUCUCGUCCUAUGUGAAAGAGUUAUAAGUGCGUACUAAUUCCAUGAGCUUUUUU